CUCACCUUCAGGCGUUUGGACUUGGUGUAGGUUGUGAGUGCCCAGCUGUGUGGGCUGAACCUCCGUGGGGUUUAGGGAGAAGAAAGGACCCCAGAUCGACGUCCCCUCGUUCCCAAUUUGGGGAUCGGCGCUCUGGCUGUUUGGUGAAAGAGAGAGAGGAACUCAGAGUGGUUUUCCAGAUGGGAAUCACAUUGCUCUCUGUCCCUGAGAUCUUGCUGGAGACAGGACUACUCAGUCCCUCUUUGCUGGGUCAUCUGUUCCAGAGGAAACAUGUGUCAUUCUGACUGAGCCCCUGCCUGUCUGUCACCUUAAGAACCAGUCAAUUCAUAUGGUCCACAUAUCAAGGUCUCCUGUGCCCAGAGAGAGAGAAGAUUUCAUUUCAACCAUCACCAUCACCACCAUCAUCAUCAUCACCAGGAAGGGUUGUUGAAUUGAUAUUGGAAAAGCAGUUUCUAUUGAGCCCCCAAAUGAAGAGUGAGUGCAGAUGAAGAGGAGGCAGGACUCACAAGCCCUUGACCUUCAUUCCAGACCCAUUAGCACCUACAGGACCCUGCACCGGGAUUUCAUCUGCACUGUCAGCUUCUUCAAAGAGAGAGAGGUUGUUGAAUUGAUACUGGAAAAGCAGUUUCCCAUUGAGUCUCAAAUGAAGAGAGAGUGCAGAUGAAGAGGAGCUCUUCAUGUGGAUGUCUGAGCUCCUAUCAGGUGUCUGAAAGAGGCAGAUUCUGAGGAUUUGGGUCAUGAUGGCUGCCAAAGCUUCUACGCCUGACUUAAAGGGCAACAAUCCUAGGAGACCACCAGCACUUACAUCCCUGGUGGGACAUGACACCUGCUUAUGGCCCAGAAGUGACAAAAGAGAAUUAUCAGGAUGGCAGUCCUUAUAACCAGAUGCUUAUGAACAUUCUUCACUACAUUCUGAAGAUGAAUUUCUACAAGGGAAAUUGUUUAUGGAGGCAGCAGAUUGCUGAAAUUCUGAAGCAAUGUGGCUGGUUAAUGCACGAUCUGAAAACCCCUGCACUGGUGAUUUUGGGACAGAUCUAGAAUAUACCAAUAAAUAUAUUAACAUACCAAGUAGUCCAGGAGCAGCCACUGGGCAAACACCAAACCUUGCAUCCCCGGUGCUGUCUCUGAGCUCAACAGACACGUCUUUGCAGAAGAGUUCUAUAAUGGUGGUACAAUGGCGCCCCCCUCAUGACAGAAGCUUGAACUACAGCUUGAACAUCGUGUGACAUGGUGAAUGAAUUUAUUGAGCCCCAGAAAGAAGGAAUAUUAAAGAAGAGCAAAGAAUAAUAGCUGUACAGAAGAUGGGGGUCAUUGAACCUGUAUCCUAGUUGCCAGACCUGUAAAGUGACCACGGGACCUGGGGGAGGCAGCAGAUGACCGAAAACCUGAAGUGAUGUGGCUGAAUACUGCAUGAUCCGAAGACUCUGCACUGGUGACUGCG
This is a long non-coding RNA of Rhinopithecus roxellana (golden snub-nosed monkey), 1441 nucleotides long. RefSeq lists it as uncharacterized. The record is from RefSeq and is a predicted model, not a curated record. Lineage: Eukaryota; Metazoa; Chordata; Mammalia; Primates; Cercopithecidae. The transcript has 11 exons.